GCCGAGGUGGCGGAACUGGUAUACGCGCUGUGUUCAGAACGCAGUGAGGGAAACCUCGUAGGAGUUCAAAUCUCCUCCUCGGCACAA
This 87-nucleotide transfer RNA is filed under the name Candidatus Zambryskibacteria bacterium CG_4_9_14_3_um_filter_42_9. RNAcentral's name for it is "tRNA-Leu". It matches the Rfam family "tRNA". Rfam says of the family: Transfer RNA (tRNA) molecules are approximately 80 nucleotides in length. Their secondary structure includes four short double-helical elements and three loops (D, anti-codon, and T loops). The record is from RNAcentral. RNAcentral also lists the same sequence under 1 other name. Lineage: Bacteria; Candidatus Zambryskiibacteriota.